Molecule: ribosomal RNA, 497 nt
Filed under: uncultured bacterium
Lineage: Bacteria
Description: partial 16S ribosomal RNA
Rfam family: Bacterial small subunit ribosomal RNA
Source: RNAcentral
GAUGAACGCUGGCGGCGUGCCUAAUACAUGCAAGUCGAGCGAAGAUAUUCGGAUCUUGCCCCUCGAACGACUUCGGCGCGAGCGUGAGUAUAACAUGGAUAACAUCCCCCUAAUACUGUGGUACCUCCGGGAGACAGGAUAUAUAACCCCGGAUAAUAUUGUAUCUCAUAUUUGAAUUGUUUAAGAGUUGUUUGCUGUCACAUUUAGAGAUAUCCGCGCCGCAUUAGCUCGUUGGUGAGGUAAAGGCGCACCAAGGCGACGAUGCGUAGCCGACCUGAGAGGGUGAUCGGCCACACUGGAACUGAGACACGGCCCAGACUCCUACGGGAGGCAGCAGUAGGGAAUCUUCCGCAAUGGGCGAAAGCCUGACGGAGCAACGCCGCGUGAGUGAAGAAGGAUUUCGGUUCGUAAAACUCUGUUGUUAGGGAAGAAUGAAUAUGUAGUUAAUAUAGAUGGAAGUGACGGUACCUAAUCAGAAAGCCACGGCUAACUACGUG